This 977-nucleotide long non-coding RNA is filed under the name Homo sapiens (human). RNAcentral's name for it is "HSALNT0370641". The record is from RNAcentral. Lineage: Eukaryota; Metazoa; Chordata; Mammalia; Primates; Hominidae.
GAGAACCCUGAUGCAGUGAACGCAGGCGCAGGCUCUGGAGUGAGAAAUUUCUCACUCUGUCGCCCAGUCUGGAGUGCAAUGGUGUGAUCACGGUCACUGCAACCUCUGCCUCCCGGGUUCAAGCGAUUCUCCUGCCUCAGCCUCCCAAGUAGCUGGGAUUACAGGGGCCAGCGAAAGACACGCGCUCGACUUAGCAAGAUAGGGGCUAGACAAACCACGGUGAGGAAAACGGCACCUACAAGUCUUCCCAGACAGCUGUCUGCAGUUGAAAUUGAACGGCUUGCAGUAAACUUCUUGGAGGAGAAUUGGCAUUGCAAGGGUGUUACUGGAGACCUCGGCAAGAAAGUGAAUGCAAAGACAGAUGACCCAGGAACCCGUGAUGGAUAAGGCUCUUGACAGCCAGGACGUGGAAUUACAGGGGGUCUCUUUGAGAGACAAAAUAAAAAAAAUAGCCCAGUAAUCUUCCUUCCACCCUUUUCUCCCAGAUCUAAUUACAGAUGUCUUGACAUUCCUUCUGCAUAGAAUUUCCUUAAAAGAUUUGCCAAGAAGAAACAUUUGGAAACUGUGUUUUAGGUAUAAUCCGUCUGGGAGUCACUCUUGCUCGCUUUGUCGUUAGAUGACAAAACGCUUAAUUACAGCGAGCACAAUGUAUACCACAUUUGGAAAACUGGAUUCUUGACCUAAAUAAUGUACCCCAUACUGACAAUGGCCUUUUGGCAAAACUUGUGUCUCUGAUCUCACAUUAAUUACUACACAAAUAUACUUAUUGUGGGCACCGAGUUUAUGGGAUGGAGUCCUCUUGACACAUGUUCACCAUAAAAACACAUUUUUUUCCCUUCCCCUGACCCUAAGGAAAAGAAAAAAAAAAAGAUUAACAUUUUUCAAGAUGCUGUUUUAGUGACAUGAAAACUGUCUGUUGAGUGUUCACUCGGCUUUUGUUCUUUUUCUUUUCUCCUUUUAUUAAAAAGCCUUUCAAA